RNAcentral lists this ribosomal RNA (443 nucleotides) under uncultured bacterium. RNAcentral's name for it is "bacterial SSU rRNA". It matches the Rfam family "Bacterial small subunit ribosomal RNA", at positions 355 to 821 of the family's 1533-position model. The record is from RNAcentral.
UGGGGAAUUUUGGACAAUGGGCGAAAGCCUGAUCCAGCAAUGCCGCGUGAGUGACGAAGGCCUUAGGGUUGUAAAACUCUUUCGUCGGGGACGAUAAUGACGGUACCCGAAGAAGAAGCUCCGGCUAACUUCGUGCCAGCAGCCGCGGUAAUACGAAGGGAGCUAGCGUUGUUCGGAAUCACUGGGCGUAAAGCGCACGUAGGCGGAUAGUUAAGUCAGGGGUGAAAUCCUGGGGCUCAACCCCAGAACUGCCUUUGAUACUGGCUGUCUCGAGGUCGAGAGAGGUUGGUGGAAUUCCUAGUGUAGAGGUGAAAUUCGUAGAUAUUAGGAAGAACACCAGUGGCGAAGGCGGCCAACUGGCUCGAUACUGACGCUGAGGUGCGAAAGCGUGGGGAGCAAACAGGAUUAGAUACCCAUGUAGUCCCUGAGCGGGCUGGCAAGGC